CCAGUAUUAGAGGCACUGCCUGCCCAGUGACACAUUGUUUAACGGCCGCGGUAUCCUGACCGUGCAAAGGUAGCAUAAUCACUUGUUCUUUAAUUAAGGACUCGAAUGAAUGGCCAAACGAGGGUUAAACUGUCUCUUACUUUAAAUCAGUGAAAUUGACCUCCCCGUGAAAAGGCGGGGAUGUAACAAUAAGACGAGAAGACCCUAUGGAGCUUAAAUUAAAUAACCCACACAGAUAUAAACAAACCUAGCCAAUAGGCAUAACUACCACCAACCCCUGGGUUAAAAAUUUCGGUUGGGGUGACCUCGGAGCACAAUAAAACCUCCGAACAAUUUUAACCUAGACUUCACCAGUCAAAGCAAACUAAAUUACCAGCUGAUCCAAACCAAUUUGAUCAACGGAACAAGUUACCCUAGGGAUAACAGCGCAAUCCUAUUAUAGAGUUCAUAUCGACAAUAGGGUUUACGACCUCGAUGUUGGAUCAGGACAUCCUAAUGGUGUAACCGCUAUUAAAGGUCCGUUUGUUC
RNAcentral lists this ribosomal RNA (528 nucleotides) under Propithecus verreauxi (white sifaka). RNAcentral describes it as "partial 16S ribosomal RNA". It matches the Rfam family "Bacterial large subunit ribosomal RNA", at positions 1840 to 2582 of the family's 2925-position model. The record is from RNAcentral. Lineage: Eukaryota; Metazoa; Chordata; Mammalia; Primates; Indriidae.